Long non-coding RNA from Lynx canadensis (Canada lynx), 1128 nucleotides. RefSeq lists it as uncharacterized. Lineage: Eukaryota; Metazoa; Chordata; Mammalia; Carnivora; Felidae. The transcript has 3 exons. The record is from RefSeq and is a predicted model, not a curated record.
CCUUCCCAGCCCUUCCCCGCCCCCCCUCCCCCCGCGGUACUGUACGGCCAAUGCAUCUGUCCACUCCGCCGCAGGUAGCUCAAGGGCAAGACCAGUUAUCACCCACAACUGGGUCCCCAGGGCUUAGCGCGGUACCCGGAACACAAAAACAUGCCCGAAAAUUGUUUAAGGGAACCGGAAUCCAGUCCCCCAAACUAACUUUCUAAAACAAACUAGGGGAGAAACUGCCGCGGCUGAACAGCUUUACACGUGAGACUCUUCAGAAUGAAGUGCAUUCUCACUGCAGCUCCUGAAACUCUCCCCGCCCCCCCCCCCCGCCACCACCUCCACCCCCGAUAUCUGAGUUGACAGAUUACACAGCCAGCACAAAACCUGGAAGCAAAUAUCACACACCCGGUUUAUUGACCUUGGCUCGUCUAGAGAUGAGGGCGCAAGCUGCAUUUCUGUCUUCGGCGCUGAGUGGGGCCACUUUUACAGUAAAAGAUGUGCACCAGGAGCAGAGUAGGAGCCAGGCACAAGAAGCAUCAGUUUGGGAGAGGAAGGCCGAAUGAGUCCAAGGAACGUCCUGUACUUCCCACUUGGAGCGAAGGGGGAGCAGAAACCCCCCCAGGGGCACGAGCCAGGUCAGCUGCUGUCACUGGAGAGACAUGGCUGGGCAGCUGGCACCACAGGUCUGGCAGAACAGCAGCCGCUAACCCCCAGUUUGUAUCCAUGGCAGUGCUCCUUCGCUCUGUGUAAUGUCUGCCCGUAACCCAUCCACCAUCACUGGCUCCGUUUACCUCCUCUCAUAACCGCACCUCUCCCCUGUCGGAUGAAAGGCUCACUCCCUUGGAUAGCUGUUAAAAUGGCUUCCUUGUUAAGGGAAUGUGUCUUUGUUUAGCCCUUAUUAUCAAAGGAUUUUUUCCUUGAUGUUCUAAAGUUUCAGGAACACAGUUCGCCACUUCCGUGACAUAAUGUGUUCUUGUCCCACUGGUGCACUGCCGUCUGAGUUACGUCGCCCAUGACCUAUUACAUAGCUCCAGAUGGUUGCUUUAAGAUACGAAUCGGGCCAUAUCCCACCCAUCGCUUGGAAAUGUUGUGAUCUUUAGUUGUAUUGCUCUACCCUAUUGCCAACAACUUGUCAGUUUA